This 253-nucleotide ribosomal RNA is filed under the name uncultured bacterium. RNAcentral's name for it is "partial 16S ribosomal RNA". It matches the Rfam family "Bacterial small subunit ribosomal RNA", at positions 524 to 776 of the family's 1533-position model. The record is from RNAcentral.
CACGAAGGUGGCAAGCGUUACUCGGAAUUACUAGGCGUAAAGGGCAGGUAGGUGGUUUGGUAAGUCUAUUGUGAAAGCUCCCGGCUUAACUGGGAGAGGUCAAUGGAUACUGCCGGACUUGAGUAUAGGAGAGGUUACUGGAAUUCCCGGUGUAGCGGUGAAAUGCGCAGAGAUCGGGAGGAACACCAAUGGCGAAAGCAGGUAACUGGACUAUUACUGACACUCAGCUGCGAAAGCUAGGGGAGCAAACAGG